RNAcentral lists this long non-coding RNA (618 nucleotides) under Homo sapiens (human). Its description in RNAcentral is "non-protein coding lnc-ZBTB10-1:2". Lineage: Eukaryota; Metazoa; Chordata; Mammalia; Primates; Hominidae. The record is from RNAcentral.
AAACUUAUUGGAAUUAACAUCAUUUGAUAUAGUGACUAUUUCUGAGUUAAGAAAACAUAAUUAAGACCGCAAAAUUACAAUAAUUAUUAAGCCACUGGCUUAUUCCAUAGCACUGUAUAAACACAGCAUAGAAUAAGAAGAUGAAGAUCCCAGAAUGUGGAAACAAAAAGCUGACAAGUGAUUGAGGAAUGGUGAGAAGACACAGGUUCUGAGGACUGCUGGACAGCCUUUCCUGUUUUUAAAGAAAAGCUCUCUUAUCAUGAGAGAAGAGUCAUGAAAACCAAAAGGUUUCUGCAUUUAAUUCGUUAUUUAGAGGGCUGAAUUUAUGCUUUGACUUACUCUUUGAUUACAAGCACUGGUGGUUAUAUUUUAUCUAUUUUGUGGAAAUGAGUUAGCACAUGUAGAAAACUGCCCUGAAAGGGGCUGAAAUGAAGCCAUUAAGACCGAAGUGUACUUUUUAAAACUCCAAACGUCAUGAUUUAUUUCUUGAUCUUGGUGAUACUUAUAUGGGUGUGUUCACUUUGUAAACAUUCAUCAAACUCUAUACUUACCACUUGUGUACUUUUCUGUAUGUGUGUUAUACUUCAAUUAAAAAGUUUACUUGAAAGAAAAAAUCCC